CAGCCGCCGCGGGAAUACAGGGGAUGCAAGCGUUAUCCGGAAUGAUUGGGCGUAAAGGGAGCGCAGGCGGUUUAGUAAGUCUGAAGUUAAAGGCAUUGGCUCAACCAAUGUAUGCUUUGGAAACUGUUAGACUUGAGUGCAGAAGGGGAGAGUGGAAUUCCAUGUGUAGCGGUGAAAUGCGUAGAGAUGUGGAGGAACACCAGUGGCGAAGGCGACUCUCUGGUCUGUAACUGACGCUGAGGAGCGAAAGCGUGGGGAGCGAACAGGAUUAGAUACCCCAGUAGUCCCUGUCUCUUAUACA
RNAcentral lists this ribosomal RNA (301 nucleotides) under uncultured bacterium. RNAcentral's name for it is "partial 16S ribosomal RNA". It matches the Rfam family "Bacterial small subunit ribosomal RNA", at positions 509 to 808 of the family's 1533-position model. The record is from RNAcentral.